UUCCUUUUGCAAUUUUUUGUAAUGAUAUACCACUAUGAUCAUUUGUAAAAGGUUUGAGGUGAGCAAAAGCCUCAGCAGUAGUUGACCGCCUUUCCACAUAACAGGAGGUGACUGCUGAAAGUUUUCAAGUUGAGAUAUUUCAACUUUCUUUUGCAUUUCUUUCUUCUGUCAUUAUGAUUAUGAUUAUCGUUAACGAGUUUGAGAAAAUCAAAAACUUGAACAGUAGGUUGCUGCCUUCCCAAAUAAAUACUUCUGGAAUAAUCUAUUUUGAAAGCACUGCCACAUUAGAGAGUUUAAAUAACGAUACUGCCUAAUUCUGAUAUCUUAAAAAUCACAUAUAUGGUCAUCAACUAUGCACUAUGGAAUAAAUCCUUUGUCAUCAUGACAGCCAAAAUCUCAUACAACCAAACAGAAUCUAUGACAAUCCAAGAUACAAUAAGCUCUCUCUUGCAAAGUUGUUCAAGGACAAGAAUUCUGAAGCUAGUCACUUUCCUAAUGGUCAUGGCCCAUUUGAAGUAUCAACAAGCCAUCAAUUUAGCCCCAAUUCAACCGCAAAAAGACAGCAGUUAAAUUGGCGGAAACAUAUCAAAUCAAUAGCUUCAUAGAAAAGAGCAAAGAAAUCUUUAUUAACAAAUCAAAUGCAUGUUCUGACACCCUCAAAGAAUUUAAGAGUUACCUCAUCAUAAAUAUCAUGUAGAAGUCUUUCACCAUCAAGGGCCUCUUUGAGGCCUUCUUUUCUUGCAGUGAGCCAUGUAGAACGCUCAGAUCCAUCGCCUUUCA
Molecule: long non-coding RNA, 780 nt
Filed under: Vitis vinifera (wine grape)
Lineage: Eukaryota; Viridiplantae; Streptophyta; Magnoliopsida; Vitales; Vitaceae
Description: long non-coding RNA (VVIN_LNC005611)
Source: RNAcentral